Molecule: unclassified non-coding RNA, 62 nt
Filed under: Pedobacter terrae
Lineage: Bacteria; Pseudomonadati; Bacteroidota; Sphingobacteriia; Sphingobacteriales; Sphingobacteriaceae
Description: Flavo-1 RNA
Source: RNAcentral
UUCUAAACCUGAUCGCAGCGAACACGGAGUGCAACGGAGUAAAGCGGAGAGCAGGGACAAAC